Molecule: ribosomal RNA, 543 nt
Filed under: uncultured marine eukaryote
Lineage: Eukaryota
Description: bacterial SSU rRNA
Rfam family: Eukaryotic small subunit ribosomal RNA
Source: RNAcentral
UGCGGGUGAAUCGCUCGUAGUUGGAUUUCUGUCGAGAACAGCCGGUCACGAUUUUGUCGUUGCAUCUGGUUUGGGCUUGGCAUCCUCUUGGGGAACAUUACUGCGCUUCGCUGCGUGGAGUGGUACUCAAGACUCUUACUUUGAGGAAAUUAGAGUGUUCACGGCAGGCAAUCGCCCUGAAUAUGUUAGCAUGGAAUAAUGAUAUAGGACCUUGGUUCUAUUUUGUUGGUUUCUAGGACUAAGGUAAUGAUUAAUAGGGACCUGCGGGGGCAUUCGUAUUAACGCGUCAGAGGUGGAAUUCUUAGAUUGCGUUACGACGAACUACUGCGAAAGCAUUUGUCUAGGAUGUUUUCAUUGAUCAAGAACGAAAGUAAGGGGAUCGAAGACGAUUAGAUACCGUCGUAGUCUUUACCGUCAACUAUGCCAACUAGAGAUUGGAGGUCGUUCUUUUUUAUGACUCCUUCAGCAUCUUAUGAUAACUCAAAGUUUUUGGGUACCGGGGGGAGUACAUUCGCCCAAGAUGAAAACUUAAAAGGAAUUGAC